CGCGAAGACUGCAAAUAUGCGUGGUCUUCGACAUUUAUCAAUGCUUAGGCAUAUUAAACUGGAGAAGUAACAUGGCACUGACUGCCGAACGCAAGGCCGAAAUCGUCAAGGAAUUCGCCACUGCCGAG
Regulatory RNA element from Kushneria marisflavi, 128 nucleotides. It matches the Rfam family "Ribosomal S15 leader". Rfam says of the family: The E. coli Ribosomal S15 gene 5' UTR can form two alternative structures. The record is from Rfam. NCBI's taxonomy places the organism in Bacteria, Pseudomonadati, Pseudomonadota, Gammaproteobacteria, Oceanospirillales, Halomonadaceae.